AACGAACGCUGGCGGCAUGCCUAACACAUGCAAGUCGAACGAGACCUUCGGGUCUAGUGGCGCACGGGUGCGUAACGCGUGGGAACCUGCCCUUAGGUUCGGAAUAACUCCCCGAAAGGGGUGCUAAUACCGGAUAAUGUCUUCGGACCAAAGAUUUAUCGCCUUUGGAUGGGCCCGCGUUGGAUUAGGUAGUUGGUAGGGUAAAAGCCUACCAAGGCGACGAUCCAUAGCUGGUCUGAGAGGAUGAUCAGCCACACUGGGACUGAGACACGGCCCAGACUCCUACGAACGUGCCCAGUGGGGAAUAUUGGACCAUGGGCGAAAGCCUGAUCCAGCAAUGCCGCGUGAGUGAUGAAGGCCUUAGGGUUGUAAAGCUCUUUUACCCAGGAUGAUAAUGACAGUCCCGGGACAAUAAACUCCGGCUAACUACCUG
RNAcentral lists this ribosomal RNA (433 nucleotides) under uncultured bacterium. RNAcentral describes it as "partial 16S ribosomal RNA". It matches the Rfam family "Bacterial small subunit ribosomal RNA", at positions 29 to 507 of the family's 1533-position model. The record is from RNAcentral.